RNAcentral lists this ribosomal RNA (174 nucleotides) under uncultured bacterium. RNAcentral describes it as "partial 16S ribosomal RNA". It matches the Rfam family "Bacterial small subunit ribosomal RNA", at positions 1329 to 1500 of the family's 1533-position model. The record is from RNAcentral.
GAAUUGCUAGUAAUCGCGGAUCAGCAUGUCGCGGUGAAUACGUUCCCGGGCCUUGUACACACCGCCCGUCACACCAUGAGAGUUGGCAAUACCCAACGUACGUGACCUAACCCGCAAGGGAGGAAGCGUCCUAAGGUAGGGUCAGCGAUUGGGGUGAAGUCGUAACAAGGUAGC